GACGAACGCUGGCGGCGUGCUUAACACAUGCAAGUCGAACGGAAAGGCCCUGCUUUUGUGGGGUGCUCGAGUGGCGAACGGGUGAGUAACACGUGAGUAACCUGCCCUUGACUUUGGGAUAACUUCAGGAAACUGGGGCUAAUACCGGAUAGGAGCUCCUGCUGCAUGGUGGGGGUUGGAAAGUUUCGGCGGUUGGGGAUGGACUCGCGGCUUAUCAGCUUGUUGGUGGGGUAGUGGCUUACCAAGGCUUUGACGGGUAGCCGGCCUGAGAGGGUGACCGGCCACAUUGGGACUGAGAUACGGCCCAGACUCCUACGGGAGGCAGCAGUGGGGAAUAUUGCACAAUGGGCGGAAGCCUGAUGCAGCAACGCCGCGUGCGGGAUGACGGCCUUCGGGUUGUAAACCGCUUUCGCCUGUGACGAAGCGUGAGUGACGGUAAUGGGUAAAGAAGCACCGGCUAACUACGUGCCAGCAGCCGCGGUGAUACGUAGGGUGCGAGCGUUGUCCGGAUUUAUUGGGCGUAAAGGGCUCGUAGGUGGUUGAUCGCGUCGGAAGUGUAAUCUUGGGGCUUAACCCUGAGCGUGCUUUCGAUACGGGCUGACUUGAGGAAGGUAGGGGAGAAUGGAAUUCCUGGUGGAGCGGUGGAAUGCGCAGAUAUCAGGAGGAACACCAGUGGCGAAGGCGGUUCUCUGGGCCUUUCCUGACGCUGAGGAGCGAAAGCGUGGGGAGCGAACAGGCUUAGAUACCCUGGUAGUCCACGCUGUAAACGGUGGGUACUAGGCGUGGGGUCCAUUCCACGGGUUCCGUGCCGUAGCUAACGCUUUAAGUACCCCGCCUGGGGAGUACGGCCGCAAGGCUAAAACUCAAAGGAAUUGACGGGGCCCCGCACAAGCGGCGGAGCAUGCGGAUUAAUUCGAUGCAACGCGUAGAACCUUACCUGGGUUUGACAUGGAUCGGGAGUGCUCAGAGAUGGGUGUGCCUCUUUUGGGGUCGGUUCACAGGUGGUGCAUGGCUGUCGUCAGCUCGUGUCGUGAGAUGUUGGGUUAAGUCCCGCAACGAGCGCAACCCUUGUUCACUGUUGCCAGCACGUUAUGGUGGGGACUCAGUGGAGACCGCCGGGGUCAACUCGGAGGAAGGUGGGGAUGACGUCAAGUCAUCAUGCCCCUUAUGUCCAGGGCUUCACGCAUGCUACAAUGGCUGGUACAGAGAGUGGCGAGCCUGUGAGGGUGAGCGAAUCUCGGAAAUCCGGUCUCAGUUCGGAUUGGGGUCUGCAACUCGACCUCAUGAAGUCGGAGUCGCUAGUAAUCGCAGAUCAGCAACGCUGCGGUGAAUACGCUCCCGGGGCU
Molecule: ribosomal RNA, 1346 nt
Filed under: uncultured bacterium
Lineage: Bacteria
Description: partial 16S ribosomal RNA
Rfam family: Bacterial small subunit ribosomal RNA
Source: RNAcentral